UACGUAGGGCGCAAGCGUUGUCCGGAAUCAUUGGGCGUAAAGCGCGCGUAGGCGGUUACUUAAGUUGGAUGUGAAAGCCCUCGGCUUAACCGAGGAAGUGCAUCCAAAACUGAGUAGCUAGAGUACGAAAGAGGGUCGCGGAAUUCCCGGUGUAGAGGUGAAAUUCGUAGAUAUCGGGAGGAACACCGGUGGCGAAGGCGGCGACCUGGGUCGAGACUGACGCUGAGGCGCGAAAGCGUGGGGAGCAAACAGG
Molecule: ribosomal RNA, 253 nt
Filed under: uncultured bacterium
Lineage: Bacteria
Description: partial 16S ribosomal RNA
Rfam family: Bacterial small subunit ribosomal RNA
Source: RNAcentral